RNAcentral lists this ribosomal RNA (257 nucleotides) under uncultured bacterium. RNAcentral's name for it is "partial 16S ribosomal RNA". It matches the Rfam family "Bacterial small subunit ribosomal RNA", at positions 524 to 776 of the family's 1533-position model. The record is from RNAcentral.
UACGUAGGGCGCAAGCGUUAUCCGGAAUUAUUGGGCGUAAAGAGCUCGUAGGCGGUUUGUCGCGUCUGCCGUGAAAGUCCGGGGCUCAACUCCGGAUCUGCGGUGGGUACGGGCAGACUAGAGUGAUGUAGGGGGAGACUGGAAUUCCUGGUGUAGCGGUGAAAAUGCGCAGAUAUCAGGAGGAACACCAAUGGCGAAGGCAGAUCUCUGGGCCGUAACUGACGCUGAGGAGCGAAAAGCAUGGGGGAGCGAACAGG